RNAcentral lists this ribosomal RNA (654 nucleotides) under Bacillus licheniformis. RNAcentral's name for it is "bacterial SSU rRNA". It matches the Rfam family "Bacterial small subunit ribosomal RNA", at positions 408 to 1052 of the family's 1533-position model. Lineage: Bacteria; Bacillati; Bacillota; Bacilli; Caryophanales; Bacillaceae. The record is from RNAcentral.
AUGAAGGUUUUCGGAUCGUAAAACUCUGUUGUUAGGGAAGAACAAGUACCGUUCGAAUAGGGCGGCACCUUGACGGUACCUAACCAGAAAGCCACGGCUAACUACGUGCCAGCAGCCGCGGUAAUACGUAGGUGGCAAGCGUUGUCCGGAAUUAUUGGGCGUAAAGCGCGCGCAGGCGGUUUCUUAAGUCUGAUGUGAAAGCCCCCGGCUCAACCGGGGAGGGUCAUUGGAAACUGGGGAACUUGAGUGCAGAAGAGGAGAGUGGAAUUCCACGUGUAGCGGUGAAAUGCGUAGAGAUGUGGAGGAACACCAGUGGCGAAGGCGACUCUCUGGUCUGUAACUGACGCUGAGGCGCGAAAGCGUGGGGAGCGAACAGGAUUAGAUACCCUGGUAGUCCACGCCGUAAACGAUGAGUGCUAAGUGUUAGAGGGUUUCCGCCCUUUAGUGCUGCAGCAAACGCAUUAAGCACUCCGCCUGGGGAGUACGGUCGCAAGACUGAAACUCAAAGGAAUUGACGGGGGCCCGCACAAGCGGUGGAGCAUGUGGUUUAAUUCGAAGCAACGCGAAGAACCUUACCAGGUCUUGACAUCCUCUGACAACCCUAGAGAUAGGGCUUCCCCUUCGGGGGCAGAGUGACAGGUGGUGCAUGGUUGC